CCUACGGGAGGCAGCAGUGGGGAAUAUUGGUCAAUGGACGCAAGUCUGAACCAGCCAUGCCGCGUGCAGGAAGACGGCUCUAUGAGUUGUAAACUGCGUUUGUACGAGGGUAAACGCAGAUACGCGUAUCUGUCUGAAAGUAUCGUACGAAUACGGAUCGGCGAACUCCGUGCCAGCAGCCGCGGUAAUACGGAGGAUUCAAGCGUUAUCCGGAUUUAUUGGGUUUAAAGGGUGCGUAGGCGGUCGGAUAAGUUAGAGGUGAAAUCCCGAGGCUCAACUUCGGAAUUGCCUCUGAUACUGUUAGGCUAGAGAGUAGUAGAGGUAGGCGGAAUGUAUGGUGUAGCGGUGAAAUGCUUAGAGAUCAUACAGAACACCGAUUGCGAAGGCAGCUUACCAGGCUACUUCUGACGUUGAGGCACGAAAGCGUGGGGAGCAAACAGGAUUAGAUACCCCAGUAGUC
RNAcentral lists this ribosomal RNA (460 nucleotides) under uncultured bacterium. Its description in RNAcentral is "partial 16S ribosomal RNA". It matches the Rfam family "Bacterial small subunit ribosomal RNA", at positions 338 to 795 of the family's 1533-position model. The record is from RNAcentral.